GUCCUAGGUUGGCUGUCUACUAUACAUGUAGACAAACAUCCUUCAUAGAUGUUUAUAGAAAUGUAAAGAUAUAUAUUCAAUUCUGAAUUGUUUGCCAAUUAUUGGAUAGGUAUUUCUACUGUCUACUAUUCUCUUGAAAGAGUUUAAAGGCUUCUAGGGGAAAUAUACACAGGUAUACUUCAUGUCUGGAUGAAACAAUGGCAGAUUAAUUGAAAAUAAGCUCAGUUAAGCUAGCCAUUAAAUGUAUGAGUGAGGUAAUUGUCAAGAAGUAAAAACAAGUUUUGUUAAUCUCUAAAAAAAUCUCCAUUUAUGGGGCCCCUGGGUGGCUCAGUGGGUUAAGCAUCUGACUUCGGCUCAGGUCAUGAUCUCGCAGUCCGUGAAUUCAAGUGCCGCAUCGGGCUCUGUGCUGACAACUCAGAGCCUGGAGCCUGCUUCAGAUUCUAUGUCUCCCUCUCUCUGCUCGUCCCCCACUCACGCUCUGUCUCUCUCUGUCUCUCAAAGAUGAAAAAAUGUUAAAAAAAAAUUUUUUUUAAAUCUCCAUUUAGAAAUGUUAUGGUAUACUCUCUUUUUUAGUGAAAAUACCCGCACGAGCUCCUUCUUGGCUUCUAAAAAGAUAUGUAAGCUCCCAAAAUAAGAUUCACAGGCUCAGCAAAGACCAACAAAGACAAUUGGUAGAAACUGGUGAGAAGUCAAUCCAGGAAAUAAUUCAGCCCAAGAGCACUGAUUUGUAUGGAAACUCUUUCAAAGUGACAUCCUUCAAGUGUCCUAUGAGCACACAAAUUCCCAGUUGGACUGAGAAGACAAGGAUCCCAAGAGGAGGUGUUUUGGGUUUUUUCUUAUUGUUUCAGAUUUUAAUAAAUACAAAGGUUGUUUUCACUGUAUCAUUAAUAAAUCCUAUGAAGUUUGGAUUAUGAGAACUGCUUUUAUAAACAGGAUUAAUAGCCAUUUUAUUCCUGAUUCUGAAAAAUAUUUGCUUAAUUUCUAUAUGAGUCUAUUACAGAAAAAAAUUAUUUCAGUUUAAUAUAGCUUUGAAAAAAAACCUAAUUGCCUUAUUCCCAAUACCCCCUUGUUAUUGGUGUCCUUUCCAUACUAUAGAAUAAAAAAGUAAUGAACUGAUACACAUGACAUGAAUGAAUCUCAGAAUCAUUGUGUUAAGUACAAGAAGACAGAUACAGAAAAGUAAAUGCUAUAUGAAAUCUCAUGUAUAUGAAAUGCAAAGUAACUCACAGAGACAAAAAAAAAAAACAAAACAGAUAAGGGUUUCCUGGAGGAAGAAGGGACAGAGAAGGAGAUGAAGGCAAG
Acinonyx jubatus (cheetah) is the source of this 1302-nucleotide long non-coding RNA. RefSeq lists it as uncharacterized. NCBI's taxonomy places the organism in Eukaryota, Metazoa, Chordata, Mammalia, Carnivora, Felidae. The record is from RefSeq and is a predicted model, not a curated record. The transcript is spliced from 2 exons.